Molecule: ribosomal RNA, 468 nt
Filed under: uncultured bacterium
Lineage: Bacteria
Description: partial 16S ribosomal RNA
Rfam family: Bacterial small subunit ribosomal RNA
Source: RNAcentral
GACGAACGCUGGCGGCGUGCUUAACACAUGCAAGUCGAACGGAAAGGCCCUGCUUUUGUGGGGUGCUCGAGUGGCGAACGGGUGAGUAACACGUGAGUAACCUGCCCUUGACUUUGGGAUAACUUCAGGAAACUGGGGCUAAUACCAGAUAGGAGCUCCUGCUGCAUGGUGGGGGUUGGAAAGUUUCGGCGGUUGGGGAUGGACUCGCGGCUUAUCAGCUUGUUGGUGAGGUAGUGGCUUACCAAGGCUUUGACGGGUAGCCGGCCUGAGAGGGUGACCGGCCACAUUGGGACUGAGAUACGGCCCAGACUCCUACGGGAGGCAGCAGUGGGGAAUAUUGCACAAUGGGCGGAAGCCUGAUGCAGCAACGCCGCGUGCGGGAUGACGGCCUUCGGGUUGUAAACCGCUUUCGCCUGUGACGAAGCGUGAGUGACGGUAAUGGGUAAAGAAGCACCGGCUAACUACGUG